RNAcentral lists this ribosomal RNA (435 nucleotides) under uncultured bacterium. RNAcentral's name for it is "bacterial SSU rRNA". It matches the Rfam family "Bacterial small subunit ribosomal RNA", at positions 28 to 477 of the family's 1533-position model. The record is from RNAcentral.
GACGAACGCUGGCGGCGUGCUUAACACAUGCAAGUCGAGCGGUAAGGCUCCUUCGGGAGUACACGAGCGGCGAACGGGUGAGUAACACGUGAGCAAUCUGCCCUUCACAUCGGGAUAACUCCGGGAAACCGGGGCUAAUACCGGAUACGACCACCUCAGGCAUCUGAUGGUGGUGGAAAGUUCCGGCGGUGGAGGAUGAGCUCGCGGCCUAUCAGCUUGUUGGUGGGGUAACGGCCUACCAAGGCAACGACGGGUAGCCGGCCUGAGAGGGUGACCGGCCACACUGGGACUGAGACACGGCCCAGACUCCUACGGGAGGCAGCAGUGGGGAAUAUUGGACAAUGGGCGAAAGCCUGAUCCAGCAACGCCGCGUGAGGGAUGACGGCCUUCGGGUUGUAAACCUCUUUCAGCAGGGACGAAGCGAAAGUGACGGUA